RNAcentral lists this ribosomal RNA (253 nucleotides) under uncultured bacterium. Its description in RNAcentral is "partial 16S ribosomal RNA". It matches the Rfam family "Bacterial small subunit ribosomal RNA", at positions 524 to 776 of the family's 1533-position model. The record is from RNAcentral.
UACGUAGGUGGCGAGCGUUGUCCGGCCUUACUGGGUGUAAAGGGCGUGUAGGCGGGAAGGUAAGUCAGAUGUGAAAUACCGGGGCUCAACCCCGGGGCUGCAUUUGAAACUAUCUUUCUUGAGUGCAGGAGAGGAAAGUGGAAUUCCUAGUGUAGCGGUGAAAUGCGUAGAUAUUAGGAGGAACACCAGUGGCGAAGGCGCCUUUCUGGACUGUAACUGACGCUGAGGCGCGAAAGCGUGGUGAGUGAACAGG